GUACGAAUAAAAAAUAUAAGCAAAUUUUAACCUUUAGAUGACAAGUUGUUGGCGCCAACUGCCACACUUGCGGACCGUUAAGUUUUUAAAAACGCGUCGGUGGUGGCGCUGCAGUCGCAGACAACAACCAAUCAGCGCAGUUUAUUCGUAAAAAACAUGUAGUUACGAAUAGUUGAGAAAACAGAAACAUUCCUGAAGUAGUGUGGGGCAUCUGGAAGGUUCAAUUUUGAGGCAUUUUUGAAGGUAAUCUUUGUUUUGCAGUUAUUAAAUGUUUUUAAAGAAGAAUAAUAACUUCCAUAUUGUUAUCUAUGCAUUUUCUGCCUUUUUUAAUAUUCAGGGGGUGGUAUAAUGGGUAAUACAUACGUUAAAUAAGUAAAAUAAAAGCCCCAGCAAGUACUACUUAAAAUUAUCUGUAUUUGUCUGUAAUUUUUAAUAUAAUUUUAUUUCUCCACACAACGCUUAAAUUGUUUGCACCAGUUUUGCUCGACGUCCACGUCCGCAAAUGUCAAUUCGCAAUGUAUCACUACAGUUCUGCA
Dalotia coriaria is the source of this 536-nucleotide long non-coding RNA. RefSeq lists it as uncharacterized. The transcript is spliced from 2 exons. The record is from RefSeq and is a predicted model, not a curated record. Lineage: Eukaryota; Metazoa; Arthropoda; Insecta; Coleoptera; Staphylinidae.